AGUAUGACGUUUGCCUUUUCGUUGUGUUUGUGCUUCUAAUCUGAUAAAAUAAUUAUUUUGAGUUAAUUGUUGUGUUACAUUUGUGUGUAGCGUUCGUUAGUUGUGUUGAGAUCGUCUCGUAGAAUAGUUUGAGUGUGGUGACACCUCAUGUGAUAAAAAUAGCAUUAACGUCAUUAAUUAUGUUUAAUUAGUUCCCCAUACAAUACAAUACAUGACUAAAAUGUGAUACAACAAUCGUAAGACUGAAAAUAGGUUGUUAUUCAAUCGAAGAUGAGUGAAAACGAAGACAAUGAAUUGGACCCUCGAAUACAGAUCGAACUCGAGAAGCUCAACACCACCACAGAUGAAAUCAAUCGACUAGAAAUAGAAUACGAUGAAGCCAACACCACUUUCCGAAUGCUCCUAAACGAGUCGACUCGAAGGCUCAAAAUCUUGUCCAAAAAACUCGGUAGUUGUAUCGAGCGUGCGAGGCCUUAUUACGAAGCAUUAGAGAUAGCGAAAAAGGCACAACAAGAGUGCCAGAAAGCUGCUGUUCAAUUCCAGAGAGCUAAUGAAAUUCAUGCAGCAGCUAAGGAAACCGUGGCUUUGGCUGAACAAAGGUUUUUGAGUAAUCAACAUGAGUGGCAGUUUGAUAAUGCCUGGCAGGAGAUGCUCAAUCAUGCCACAAUCAAAGUCAUGGAAGCGGAAAAUCAAAAAGCGGAAAGCGGCCGCGAACACCAACGUCGCGCCACCAUCUUCAAAACGGCCGAAGACUGCGUUAAACAACUCGAAAGCCGUCUCCAAAAAUCCAUAAUUAAAUCGCGCCCCUACUUCGACGAAAAAUCCCUCUGCCAACAGCAACUCAACACGCAAAAAGAUCGCAUCGAGACAAUAAAACGCGACAUCGUCAAAACCAAAUCCUCCUACGCGCAAACCCUCAAACAACUCGAGCAAAUCUCCAACGAGAUCCACAUGAAGCGGGGCAGCGUCACCGAAGACAUCCUGCGAGGACCGCGUGAACCAGGAGUCGGUGCUGAAUUAGCGCCAUCGCAUGACGAACUCGGGCACAAAAAUCAUUCCUCCUUGCCGGAUUUCAAUCUCGAGCUGGAGAAGUGCGAGUUGAGGAGUUGCGGUUCGAGUUCGACUGUGAGCGAAAAGGAGGAGUUGAGUGAGGAUUUGGACGAGUUGAAGGUGAAGUUUAAGGAGUUGGCAACGCGGCCGGUUAAUGGAGGGGAGGGGGAGAGUAUGGAUGGGGUGUGGGAGUCGGAAUUGAAGUCUACUGUGGAGAAGAUGGACCAUAUGAUGUUGCUGCAAGAGUGCGCUCAAGAAUUGGACCACUACAAGUCUGAAAUUAAAGAUAAGGUUAUCGAGACUUAAGUGUCGUUUAUCGUAGAGUAGAGAUACAACGAGACUAGUGUUUUUUAUUGUUUCGAGGACUUUAGGUAAAAAAAACAGUAUUGUGUUAGUUAUCUCGGUUCAAAUACGGAGGACUUAUUUGGAGGCGAAACGAGCUUUAAGAUUUAAAACUCAAAAAUUUUUAAUGCUGUUUUACAAAAAGUUUUGGGAAACAGAAAUGUUUUAGCGCUUUACAUUUUCCAAAACAUUGCUAAUAUGGUUAAAGUUAUAAAAAAUACUGGAAACUACUUAAUUUUUUACAAUUUGCAAACUUGGGAACCACUAAAUGUCCUUACCAGUAUGAUUUCUUUCUUAAGGUGGAUUUUAUAAUCGUCGGAUCCCGAGUAGCACAGUUUUACUGAAUUAUCUUUCGGUUAUAUAACGUUAUAUAACCGUAAUACACAAAUCUAACCAUUGGUUAUGUUAGACUCAGUUUAUAUAACGGUUAUCUAACCAUGUUUAGCGUCUAUAACCAUGAUUAUAUUACGAUUAGAUAACCGUUAUGUUUCUUAAGCAAUAUGGCCCAAACUAAAUUUAGGUUAUAUAUCAGCGUUCUAAUCAUGGUUAGGUCUAGCGUAUACAGCAAAGGUUAUGUGACGGUUAUAUAACUGCUAUGUAUGUAAUGCAAUAUAGCGUAUGCUAGAUUCAGUUUAUAUAUCGGUGAUCUAAGCAUGGUUAUGUUACAGUUAUGUUUAAUAUUCGCCGGCAUUUUAUAAUAAUAAUUACAAAACAAAAUAAGUGAUCUAAGGAAUUUUUGGUUAUAUAGUAGAAAAUUAUCUAGUUUUUUGGUCGUAAAAUUCAUUCAACCGUGAUUUUUGCUUUUUCUUUACUUCUACGUGUUGCAAACACGUUAAUCGUCAUCUAUAUUUGUUGUUUAUCAUGUAAGUAGAGUACAAUUUGAGUUUAUACUUAAUUGAAAGCUGAAAAAAGUUUCCAUAAAUGUAUUUUUGUCUUGACCACAAAAAAAUGAAUCUGUCAAAACCAAAGCAAAUUAUUCUAAGAAUGAAUGUUUUCUCACUUUCUACCUGCCGACCCUUUAAUCCUACAAUUUUAAGCUGGGUUCGGAGAAUUUGUCCAAAGCUGAGAAAACAAUGAAGAAAACAGUAAACAAUACGUUUUUGAAAAUAAUAAUACUUUAGUUGCUGAUAACUGUAAUUUGUAACAAGUUUGACAAACUCUUGUUCUUUGGAGGAAAAAGAUAACACUGACUACGUUAGAAGUUUUGUCGUAAGAUGGCAUUUCAUCUUUCCUAUUACUCCUACAGCAUCUUCGGUCUUAACAUAAAUAGUUCUGUGUUAGUUCUGGUCAUCGAACAUUUUCUUGCAGAAGUUAUUUCUAAAAAUUCUUUUGGAAUUUCUCAACAAGGAAUCAACAAUACACUGAACAAUAUUUGUUGUGCACUAGUGAUGUUCUGCACCCUAAAGAUGCUGGGUAGAAGCACUCAUUUAUUUAUCCUAAAUAUUUAGAAUUUUAAUUUGUAUUAAAAUCUACUACGUGUUUUUUUAAAUAAACUUUAGGCAAAAGUUAUAUAAGGGCAAUAUAAUGGUUAGAUCACUAAGCAUAACCGAAAUAUAACCGAGAUGUAAAGGGAAUUAUAUAACCGAACUAUAACCACGCGUAGAUAAAGGUUAGAUAAAGACACACAUCCGCAAUAUAACCGAGAUAUAAGAGGAGUUAUAUAACCGCAACAUAACCACGCGUAGGUAACUGUUAGAUAAAGUGGUUAACUAACAGUUAGCUUAUAAAAGCGUCACAUUUGGGAAUUGGCGGUUAUAUUGGAAGGUUUAAUCUCGGUUAUACAAGUGUGCUACUAGGGAUAACUUUAUCCUGGGAAAUAACUUUUGAAAAAUAAAUUGUUGUAACAACUGUAACCAUAGUAAUUAUAACAGGAAUGAACUGUGGUUUAUCUGACGAUUGUAAAAUCCACUCUUAAGAAAAGAGCAAAUAAAGUACUUUACAUUGGCUCAAAUUGCCGAUGAUAUUUGUUUUGACUUUCUCACUUAAAAAUCUGUCUAAAAGGCUUUGAAACUUUGACCGGAUAUGACGAUUUUUUUCACUGGUUUUUUCAGAUAAGUUGAAGUUUUCCGAUUCUUCGCUUAUCGAACGGUUUUAUACCUUGCAAACUGCUCAUAACUCCAUAAACAGUUUCGUUGAAAGGUUUUGAAUUUGAACGAUUUCUGGUUUAAAAACGAAAAAAAUUGCUUUAGAAAGGCUAAAAUUAUUUUAUUCUGGGCUUUUGACUUUGACAAGUAUUUGCUUAAAAAUGUAAGCGUUUGUUUAAGAAGGCUCAAAACGCCUUAUUCUGGUCAAAAAAUUACAAUUUACAUACCGGUUUAGUUGAAAAUUUGAUUUCAAACAACUUCUUGCUUAAUGACAAAAAAUCGCCAUAGAAAAGAUAAAAACGCUUUUUUUGGGAACAAACCACUUUGAAAAUACUUGAUUCUGAACAUGUCUUUAAAACAAGGACAAAAAUGCUUAGAAAGGCUGAAAUCGUCAUUUUCUUUUAAAAAUUUACGAUUUAUGCACCAUUUUAGGUGAAAACAUGAUUUUGUACAAUUUCUUGUUUAAAAAGGAAAAUAAUCGCUUUAGAAAUACUAAAAUCGUCUUGUUCUUGCCAAAAACAACGUCCAAAUUAAUGGAAAAGACUUGAGUCUGAACAAUUCCCUGCUCUAAAAAGGCUAAAAUCGACCAGUUUAGUUGAAAACAUUUGAUUUCGAAUAAGCCCUUGCUUAAUAACAAUAAAAAUCGCUCUAAGAGGCCUGAUUUUUUUGGAUUUCUAAUGAGUCUGGCCACAAAUAACGAUCUACUUAUUAUUUGUGAGAAAAUAAGUUGAUUUCUAACACUUUUUCGCUUAGAAGUCAGUCAAAAAUGUUUUGGAAUGGUUCAGAUCUCCUUCUUUUGCCCCAAGACAAUGAUUUUUGUAUUAGCCUUGUUAAAAUAAGUUGAUUUUUAAUGAUACCUCGUUAUUUAUCAGUCAAUAAAUUUAACUAAAAUAUGAUUGCAAUUAAAUGUUUUGUAAACUGGUCCUUUAUACUUUUAAUAGAUUAUAGUAAAUACUAAGGAAGCAGUUCCUAAAUAAAAAAAUCAAUAAAAAAAUAUCUACAUGUUUAACGUAGCAGCAAAAAUUCUUCAGCUGUAAUAUCACAAAAGAGUAAGAAUAAAUUAAAAUAAUUUGAUAGAUCUUUUUGAAAGCGUGUUGCAAGUCUAUAGAAAAUUAAAAAACAUCUAAGCAAGAAUUCUUGAAAAAAUCUUUUCUUGACUUAGCAAAAAAUAUAAAAGAUUGUAAAAAGGUUUAGUGGAUUGUCCAAAAUAAUUAUGACCUUGUGAAAGACAUUUGAGAGUUGGAGGAAACUAAAAAUUCAUUCAGAAAAACCAGAUUAAAAAAUUUUAUACUUUUCAACGAAACAAAACUUACAAUAAAAAAAUAUAUUAAAGGAAAAAAAAUAGAUUUUAAGCUGAGAAAAGUUACAAAUUAUAAACAAAUUGUAAGGAACAAAAAUGUAGGAAAUUUUCGCAGCGUUUUGAAAAUAUGUGGCGUAUUUUGCGUUUUACUUUAUUCUUUUUUAUUUCUUGCUAUUAAAUUUAAUGUUAAGUUUUAAGUUGUAAUAAGUGAUAUUUGAACAUCGUGUCGCCUCCUCUAGUCCUCUAUGACUAAAUCAAAUCUUUAAAUGGAAUUAGCCUAAUUUUGGAUAAGGAUUGAUGAUCAAGCUCAAAGCUGUGAAAAAAUCGGCCAGUUUUGGCAGUUUUGAUAUUUUAACAUUUGCGUGUGAUAAUGCAAUUGGAUUUUUGUGUUUUAAUUUUGAAGCAUGGGCGUGGCAGAUUUAGUCCAAACAAUUCGGUGCUAUUGUUAAAAAAGUGUUAAAUUUUUUUUAAACGAAAUAUUGAGUUUGUUUCAGUUUUUUUGUUGUUUUAUUAAGGUGCCUCAACUGGAAACAAAUAAAUAAUUGAAUGAUUUUUUUAUUUAAAUGUGAGAAUUAAGCUUCUUUUUCCAACAGCAAUAAUUUGCUUCCAAAUUAAAAUUUGUUAAAUGAAAUCCUCACAUGUUUCGAAAAGCUGAGUCGGCAAUAUGAUGACGUUUGAAACAACAACCUCAUUUCGAAACGUAGUUUUUAUUGCGGAAUAUUAUUUUGGAAUUGUUUUGUUGAAAUAAUUUGUUCUUUGUUAGAAACGAACCAAAUCGUCUGGAAAUGGCUUAACUCGUCUUAUUUUGAUCGAUUACCAAUUGAGUAACCGAUUAAAUAAUUAAUUAAAAUAACUAAAUUUUAUGUAUUUAUAAAUCUUAUUUGUGGUAAUUGAAUCACCAAAGGGAACAUUGCCAAGCCUAGACGUUGAAUACUUGUGAUAAUUAUCUAAUCGAGGAAUUUAAAAAAGAUAAAAUUAUCGAUUAUAGCAGAAAUAACGUCAUUGUGAUUGUUUUACAUUGAUCAGAUCUGAAAAUACUAUAAUCUGAUUGUUGUUGAAAUAUAAAGAAAAAAUUGUGGCGUUAGUGUUGCCACGUCCAUGUUUUAAGUACAAAUAAUGUACCAUACGAUGUUUAUUUGUAUGUGCAAUUAAUUUUACUUCACUAACAUUAUUUUUGUAUCGCAUUUUUUUAACGUACCCAGUACAAAAAAUAAAAGAAUCAUCUAACAUAA
This is an RNA transcript of Tribolium castaneum (red flour beetle), 6008 nucleotides long. It is a transcript of the gene named parcas, with no coding region annotated. The record is from RefSeq and is a predicted model, not a curated record. NCBI's taxonomy places the organism in Eukaryota, Metazoa, Arthropoda, Insecta, Coleoptera, Tenebrionidae. The transcript has 5 exons.